Molecule: non-coding RNA, 21 nt
Filed under: Rattus norvegicus (Norway rat)
Lineage: Eukaryota; Metazoa; Chordata; Mammalia; Rodentia; Muridae
Source: RNAcentral
AGUAGUUCUUGCCUGAUGGAG